This is a non-coding RNA of Punica granatum (pomegranate), 1816 nucleotides long. Lineage: Eukaryota; Viridiplantae; Streptophyta; Magnoliopsida; Myrtales; Lythraceae. The record is from RefSeq and is a predicted model, not a curated record.
AAACGCCGGUUUGAGGGAUGGGAGAGCGGCAAAAUCAGGGGGUCACAUUCUCUCUCUCAAUCGUUCCGCUUUGCUUUCCCGCCAUCCAUGGCAGCAAUGGAAAUCGACUCGCCGGGGAAGAUACCCAGGAAGCAGUCUUCCUACCGUCCCUUGGACGAGGCGUUCCAGAUACGGAAGGAGACCUACGGAGGUCAACAGUACAGUCAGAUGUACUUCGCGCGUCUCCACAUGAUGCGGACCCUCAUCUACUCCCUCGUCCCCACCUGGAAGCCUCACGUUCCCGUUUGCAAUAUUUUAGGAAUAGAAAAAGGCAAGGAAUGCAUUAUUGUUGGUACUUUGUACAAGCACAUGAAACUUAAACCAUCAAUCCUCGAUGAGUACUCUAAGGAGAGAUCUGCAACUCCGAUUGUAAGGCCCCACAAUUUUAUGCACCAAGAUGAUUAUCUGAUUUUUGAAGAUGAAAGUGGUAGAGUAAAACUCGGAGGUUCUGUUCUUACGCCUUCCGUCUAUGUAACAGGCAUUGUUGUCGCUUUGCUUGGGAGGGAAACAGGCAAUGGUGACUUCCAUGUUGAGGAUGUCCUAGAAGCAGGCCUACCACCUCAGUUGGAGAUGCCCCUUAAAUCAGGAGCAGACAAAUAUGUUGUUCUAGUUUCCGGAGUUAACGUGGGCAGCGGUGCUUCUAAUCCUCUGGAGUUUCAGCUUUUCAUUGAUCAUAUAACAGGACACUUAGGGGAUAAGAAGGCACAAGAGAUGGCAGCGAAAAUAGUCCACCUGGUCAUUGCUGGAAACUCUGUUGAAAUUCCCCGUGAACUUCUGAACAAACAGAAUCUGGCUUCUACUGAUCAGUCGAGGUUAUCCGAGCCCAUCAAAGAGCUGGAUAUGAUGUUAACACAGAUUGCUGCAGGUUUGCCUCUGGACAUCAUGCCAGGACCCAAUGACCCAGCAAACUUUUCCUUGCCUCAAAUGCCUCUGCAUACAUGCCUCUUCCCAAGUUCAGCUGCUUAUAACACUUUUAGAUCAUGUCCAAAUCCUCACUGCUUUGACCUCGAUGGUGUCAGAUUUCUUGGAACAUCAGGUCAGAAUAUUCAUGACCUUCAGAAGUAUUCAGAGGCUAAAGAUAAGCUGGAGUUUAUGGAGAGGACAUUAAGGUGGAGGCAUCUGGCACCAACAGCACCAAACACUCUCGGGUGUUAUCCUUUCACUGAUAGAGAUCCCUUCCUCGUUGAGAGCUGCCCUCAUGUCUAUUUUGUUGGUAAUCAAGAUAGAUACGAGACGCGACUAAUAAAAGGAUCAGAAGGGCAGCUAGUUCGACUCAUUUGCAUUCCUAAAUUUGGUGAAACGGGAGUUGCAGUUAUGGUAAACGCGAGUAAUCUCGAGUGUAGUAUCCUCAGUUUUGAGGCUCGAUUUAGCUCGUAGUGGCAUGCCAUGGAGCCCGAAAGCAGAGCAAGGAUAUCUAAUAGCUGGUAGGAAGUUUUACCCUCAUUUAACUGCUCAAUCAAAGGCAAGGUCUCAGGCUCACUGCUUCAUGGCCUCGGUGAGUCUGUCAAUGACACUUCAUAUAUGUAAAGAUGGGAUUAUUCCCGUAACUUUAUUCACAAAUGUAUUAACUUCGACAUGAGAUUAUGGGUGGUGGAUUUUGUUUGAUAAUCUGUCUUGCAGAGUUUUCCGUUGGUAUCGGUUUUAGUUUGGUAGGAAAACUGGAUUGGGACUACCCGUGCUCUUUAUUAGAUAUUUAAAAAUUUUAUUUUAUUGUAAUGAACCUGUAAACUUUCCUUGUAAUUAAAAAAAAAAAAAAGCUUGGCUGGGCUUUCGCGUA